Molecule: unclassified non-coding RNA, 223 nt
Filed under: Hevea brasiliensis (rubber tree)
Lineage: Eukaryota; Viridiplantae; Streptophyta; Magnoliopsida; Malpighiales; Euphorbiaceae
Source: RNAcentral
UUAGAAGAAAGGUUGUAGCAUGAAAUGGAACAUAUAUACCUUUGCAUAAUCAUCUUUGUGCAAGUAUGGGAAAGACUAAAGCAGCAUGCCUCCUUGUUAUAUUUAAUUGCAAGAUGAAUACCAAGUAAAGUGUGUCAAAAUCAUAAUGAUGUCACUGAGGACUACAGAGAUGCUAAGGGCAAACAACUUCAAUUGUUCAGCAGCGAUGAAUAAUCAGGUAUUC